UGGGGAAUAUUGGACAAUGGGCGAAAGCCUGAUGGAGCGACGUCGCGUGAUGGACGAAGUGCUUCGGCACGUAAACAUCUUUUAUGUGGGAUGAAAUUAUUGACAGUACCACAUGAAUAAGGGGCUCCUAACUCUGUGCCAGCAGGAGCGGUAAUACAGAGGCCCCAAGCGUUAUCCGGAAUCACUGGGCGUAAAGGGUGUCGAGGCGGUUGUAUUAGUCGUUCGUAAAAUCUACGAGCUUAACUUGUAGGCGGCGAACGAAACGGUACGACUUGAGGUUUGGAGAGGUGCGUGGAACUCACGGUGUAGGGGUGAAAUCCGUUGAUAUCGUGGGGAACACCAAAGGCGAAGGCAGCGCACUGGCCAAAAUCUGACGCUCACACACGAAAGCUAGGGUAGCGAAGAGGAUUAGAUACCCUGGUAGUCCCUGAGCGGGCUGGCAAGGCGCAU
This 450-nucleotide ribosomal RNA is filed under the name uncultured bacterium. RNAcentral's name for it is "bacterial SSU rRNA". It matches the Rfam family "Bacterial small subunit ribosomal RNA", at positions 355 to 825 of the family's 1533-position model. The record is from RNAcentral.